GAUUCCCUCAGUAGCGGCGAGCGAACAGGGAUGAGCCCAGCGCCAAGUCCCGACACUCGCGUGUGUUCGGGAGAUGCGGCGUUGAUGCGGCUGCGCAUCGUGCGUUGAUACGCGUCUCAAGUUCCCUUGACAGGGACUCCCAGAGUGGGUGCUAGGCCCAUGGAGGCGCGUGUCUGGCGUACGCAGGCAGACGUAUUCUAGAGUCAGGUUGCUUGAGAGUGCAGCCUAAAGCAGGUGGUAAACUCCAUCUAAGGCUAAAUACUACAGCGAGACCGAUAGCAAACAAGUACUGUGAAGGAAAGUUGCAAAGAACUUUGAAGAGAGAGUUCAACAGGACGUGAAACCACCAACAGGCAAACGGAUGGAACCACGAAGUACGCCUGGUGCGCGGCUCAGCCGUGCCAGUCGGUGGUCGGCGCGUUGAGAGGGCUCGUCUCGGGUCGCUCGCGUGUCGUCCUAUGCCGGCUGGUGCGGUGCAUUUCGCAGCGCCAGUGCCAAAGCCACGUCCGAUCGGGUGACUGGAGCGGUUGUAGUACUGACCGGAAGGAAGGUGGCGUCUCACUCUCGGGUGCGACGUGUUAUAGCCUUUCGGUUGGACCGCUGCCGAGUGUGCCGAUCGGUGAAAGCUCUCCAGCAAUGGAGUGUGCGGUCGUCCGGCUGGGUGUGCCCUGUACUGUCGGUCAGUCGUUCUUGCGCGUUUCCGUAACGUGUCAAGACGGCUGGACGUGCGGUGCUUGUGCGCGCUCUGCUCGGGCGGCUCGCAACUGUGGUGCGAGUAGGUCGGUCUCCAUCCGACCCGUCUUGAAACACGGACCAAGGAGCCUACCAUGCACGCGAGUCGCUCGGUCUUGAACAGGCCCGGGAGGCGUAAUGAAAGUGAAGCUACGAGGCUGUAACAGGUCGCAGUAGCAGCCCGCCUGCUUUCUCUAUCGGGAAUAUGGCGGAGCCGGAGCGUGUACGGUGGUACCCGAAAGAUGGUGAACUAUGCCUGGGCAAGACGAAGUCAGAGGAAACUCUGAUGGAGGUCUGUAGCGAUUCUGACGUGCAAAUCGAUCGUCAGACCUGGGUAUAGGGGCGAAAGACUAAUCGAACCAUCUAGUAGCUGGUUCCCUUCGAAGUUUCCCUCAGGAUAGCAGGCGCUCGUUGUGACAGUCUCAUCCGGUAAAGCUAAUGAUUAGAGGUCUUGGGAGCGAAACGCUCUCAACCUAUUCUCAAACUUUAAAUGGGUGAGAUGCCCGACUCGCUCGAAUGGAGCCGGGCAAUUGGAUGUGUGGGCGCCUAGUGGGCCAGCUUUGGUAAGCAGAACUGGCGCUGUGGGAUGAACCAAACGUCGAGCUAAGGCAUCGAAUGCGUACGCUCAUGAGAUCCCAGAAAAGGUGUUGGUUGCUAUAGACAGCAGGACGGUGGCCAUGGAAGUCGGAAUCC
This 1425-nucleotide ribosomal RNA is filed under the name Aphodanoetus teinophallus. RNAcentral's name for it is "eukaryotic LSU rRNA". It matches the Rfam family "Eukaryotic large subunit ribosomal RNA", at positions 73 to 1269 of the family's 3401-position model. Lineage: Eukaryota; Metazoa; Arthropoda; Arachnida; Sarcoptiformes; Histiostomatidae. The record is from RNAcentral.